UCUGAUUGUACUUGGAGGUAUAAACUUUACUACCAUUUUAGGAUGAUGUGGGUGUUCUACUUGAAGUUGAAGGUAGAUUACAGUGAUUGGGGAGCCGUCUAGCUAGAAAAGGUAAAAUCGGUCCAUGAUCCUUUCUGUACAAUUACUUAAUUAUGUAGUAUCAGGCAGGAAACCCAACUGUACAUUUUAAAGUGGAGGAUCCUUUCAGACAGGAAAUCCAAGUGUAUCAGGAACCGCACCUCUGUUCCUGACAAUAGCAUGGAAAUUUGCAUAUAUUGGAAAAUACGGCUGAAUGUGAUGUGAGUACGAUAUGUGGGCUCUGGGGCACAUUCAUAUAUAGAUUCCGAUGGUAUUUCAAACUUUGACGAUUUUUGCGGUAGAAGUCAGUGUAGUUCACUGCCGAGUACAUCUCACCUAGUCCAACAACCCCCAAAAAGAAUCACAAAAACAAGAUUCAUUUCAAACAUGUGAUAAACAAGGAAGAUACUACAAGUGUGCCUAGUUUUGACUAGAAUAUUCUAGUUCAACUAUAAGAAAGUUUGAUGAGGAGAUGCAAUGUGAUAGGAUGUGAUAAAAACAAAAUACGAUGUAAGGUAGUUGGUGUUGGUGAAGAUAUCAUUCUUAUAUGUAGUUCUUUGGUUUCUGUUGUACCAAAG
Molecule: long non-coding RNA, 656 nt
Filed under: Setaria italica (foxtail millet)
Lineage: Eukaryota; Viridiplantae; Streptophyta; Magnoliopsida; Poales; Poaceae
Description: long non-coding RNA (SITA_LNC003590)
Source: RNAcentral